RNAcentral lists this ribosomal RNA (518 nucleotides) under uncultured bacterium. RNAcentral's name for it is "bacterial SSU rRNA". It matches the Rfam family "Bacterial small subunit ribosomal RNA", at positions 143 to 655 of the family's 1533-position model. The record is from RNAcentral.
AUAACGUAGCGAAAGUUACGCUAAUACCGCAUAUCUGUGAGCAGGAAGCAGGGGAUCGCAAGACCUUGCGCUUUGGGAGCGGCCGAUGUCGGAUUAGCUAGUUGGUGGGGUAAAGGCCUACCAAGGCGACGAUCCGUAGCGGGUCUGAGAGGAUGAUCCGCCACACUGGGACUGAGACACGGCCCAGACUCCUACGGGAGGCAGCAGUGGGGAAUUUUGGACAAUGGGCGAAAGCCUGAUCCAGCCAUGCCGCGUGAGUGAAGAAGGCCUUCGGGGUUGUAAAAGCUCUUUCGGUGGGGAAGAAAUUGCACGGGUUAAUACCCUGUGUAGAUGACGGUACCUAGAGAAGAAGCACCGGCUAACUACGUGCCAGCAGCCGCGGUAAUACGUAGGGUGCGAGCGUUAAUCGGAAUUACUGGGCGUAAAGCGUGCGCAGGCGGUUUUGGUAAGUCAGAUGUGAAAUCCCCGGGCUCAACUUGGGAACUGCAUUUGAGACUGCCAAGCUGGAGUUUGGCAGA